This 4197-nucleotide long non-coding RNA is filed under the name Brassica napus (rape). RNAcentral's name for it is "long non-coding RNA (BNAP_LNC026419)". The record is from RNAcentral. Lineage: Eukaryota; Viridiplantae; Streptophyta; Magnoliopsida; Brassicales; Brassicaceae.
UUUUGUAAAUUAAUAUCUCUAUAAAUUAAUAAAAUUUUAAAGUCUCAAUAUUAUUAAUUUAUAGAGGUUCUACUGUAUAUAUGUAUCAUUUGAUCACUAGCUAGCUAGUAUGCUUGUUUAGUUUGCUCUUGAGGUGGUUUGUUAUUAUUUUAACUUUGUCUUGUUGGCUCUUGAGCUUGUAAUAAAUCCUUGACUUAAUGAAACUCCAAAAUAAAUGUGUUGAUCCUGGAAUUAAUUAAUAGACGGAUGUAGACGUAGAAACUGAUAUGGCGAUGAGGCUCUGUAGAGCUCCCAUCGAUUCUCAGUGUGAGCGCGAGGCAAGGUGUCGGACUUCUGUUUGAGUCUCGCUGUUCGGCAUCCUUGAAGGAGACUCGUGUGCUGAUCAGCCAUCCCAGCUCCAUUGUCGGGUCUCUUGGGCUCCAGUGGAGGGCUGUUCUAUCUCUAAAUUGCAGGUUUGAGCAAGCAUCUCAGAAUGUAGGGCUGUUCUAUCUCUAUAUUGCAGGUUUGGGCGAGCGGCUCAGGAUGUGGCUCUCAUCACUUCCCGUCUUCUUGCAGCUCGCACUUUGUUCUGAAGCCGAGUGUAAUAAGUGUGACAUUGGUAGUCUUGUGGCGUCAAGCCGGAUGGCGCUCUAGUCUGCUUGAUGCAAGUGGAGGUAUUUAGCUCAGGUUUCAGUCUCCUCUACUGGUGGUGGUUGGCGGAUAUGGUUUCCUCGGUUGGUCAUUGCAAAGCUGCAUGUGAUCGGAGUCAAUCAAUUGGAGUAGCGCUUUGGGCAAGCCGAUAUCUACCAAGCGUGAUCUUAGGUAAUAUCAAAGACUCCGAAUCCAUUUGGCAAUGCUUCAGUCUCAGCCAAGCUUUCCUUCUGCUAGUGUCUUCUGCGCUUGUGUUAAUUGUUUAAGUCCCUUGUCUCACCAUUGUUGCUUGUUCUUUCUCCUUGGUGUUUAGAUUUUUGUUUUUUAUCUGCUACUAGUGCUCUAUGUAACUGCUGUCAAAAUUUUAAAACUUUGGUAUAAAAUUUAACAUUUAGACCAAAAAAAAACUGAUAUGGCGAUGUUUCAUUUUCAGAUGUUUCCGGAACAUUUGACUAAUAAAACACUUCAUUUUCUCAAACAUACAUCCGCAUGCAUGAUGCUUCCUACCUCUUCAAGGCAAUGUAUAGAAAGGCCAUGUAGGUGGAGUGUUUAGGUUGAAAGUUUCUUCUCUUACCACUCCACCUGAAAAAGGUAAUCUUGUAAUACCAAAAUCUUACACUAUUUUGUUAACUAAAUCACAUCACUGUGACUUACAUCAUUUUAAAUUUCUCCAUUAUUAUAUAGUUAUAUUGAGAGAUUACAUUUUAACAUCACUCAUUUCAAUCAUCAGUUGAAUCCUCUACUAUUUUAUUUUCUGUUUAACAAUCAGUAAUAAUAAUAAACAAACAAAGACUCUCAAUCAGACUCGAUUCACAGAGAAUAUCAUGUUUCGAAAUUAGACUUUCCAUAAUAGUAGUACUAAACUAGCACGGAUUGGACGGAUAGCCCUCAACUUAGCCACAAUCGGAGAUGGAUCGGAAAAUGUUCAGAAUUGGACUUGCUUCACCUAACAAGACUCGACCAAGUUUAGCAUGAAUUACUCAUUGAAUAAGUCUCACCUAAAUCAUACGAUUUCACCAUGCACAAUAUACGAUUAGGUUUUAUGCUACAAAUGUUGCUUGCUAUACAAGAAAUGGAGAAGGGAUCACUUAGCUAUCACGGCUUGGGGUAACGUUAAUGGAUCUUGCACUUUGACGACGUGCGUGUAAAAGCCGGAUAACCGGACUGAAAUAAAUGAUAUAAUAAAAGCGAUAUGUUAAGGAAAUAAACGAUUGUGAAGAGCGAAUACAAGAACGAUAAGAAAUCGUAUUCGCUAAUGAACAUGGAGUCGAGAUAUAAUCUCUUUCCUUAACUCUAAAUAUUCGCUCCGUUAGUGAGACAGAACUGUACGAAUACCGAGUCCCAGGAUACAAUCAUGGCAGACAAAUCACGCUUCACCCGUGAUCGCCCUAUCGAACUAUAAACUCUACAAACACUCUCGUAUUUAAGACUUACGCUAAGGGAAUUUUUGCUGUUGGUUUCGAUGUGAAAAAGUUAAGAAAUGAAUGAAGAGGAGUCGAGUAUUUAAAGAAGAGAACUGGAUUUGAUUUUCGAAACUGUUGCACACGUUUAGCGAAAAUAUCUCUGAAAUCUCGGGAGUGGAGAGUUGAGAAACUUUCUCCGCAAGAUCUCUCUUCUGUUGACUCGUUCUGAUCCAUUUCGAACAGACAAACUUCGUGUCGUUUUUAGACAAACUACGUGUUGUUUAUUCACGAACGUCAUUCUGUUUUUUAGAAAUGAAAUGGCAAAAAUGUAGUGCUUAACUUGGUCCAAAAAAAAUAUUCUUAUUGGGCUAGAGGCCCAAGACCCAAGCCCAAUCUCACGCCCAAGCCCACGCCGAGCCGGCCGGAUGGCGCGUGGACAGACUUACUCUCUCCUUGAGCCGCUUAACAACUCAUAACACAUGAGCAUAUAUAUAUUGCUCAUCUACUCUCUACUUCCCCGAUGUGGGAUUUUCUUAAGUUUCAUUCAUUUAACCCAGCCAGGCUUUUUCCAUGUGACCAGUAGACCCAUUUGUAUUCACCUUAUGCCUUUUAUUAAUUCAGCCAUUAGGCUAUAAUAUUAGGCCCAACAGUGGGCUCCAUCUACGGUGACUAAAGACUCACGACAGUGCAGAUCUACGACCGGUGGUGGUGAGGAACAUGGCGGCUCUACCUGGAACGCUUCUCUCCCUCUCGGCUUAGGCUCUCCAUCUCACGGAUCCGAUACGUAACAACAACGGACGUGACGGCAGGUAACGAGUCUGUGAUACCAUGGGCUGCUCCUCCGAUGAUGAACCAUGGCUCCGGUGGUGGCUAGCGAUGGUGGAUGCAUCACGUCUUCUCGGUCAUCAAACACACGAACACAAGAAUAAAAUGGAGGAGAAGAAGAGAGUGACACAAGUGAUGAGCAAGAGAGAUGGGAGUGAACGUGAACAAGAGUGGAGAAGAUGGAGAUGGUGAUCGUGAAUAACAAUGGGAGAAGAUCUGCUUACACUUUUUCUUUAGGUUUUUUUUCUUUGACUGAAACUUUUUCUUUAGGUUACGAGGAAGAGAUUAUAUAUAUCGAAAUAGACAUAUUACGGCUGCGUUUAAUAAAGAAGAAGGAAGUGGUUAUUAAUUUAAUUUGACCAAACCGGUUUAGAUUAAGAUUAUAAUUAGAAGAAAAACAAAAUCAAACCGAUUUGAAAAAUCCGGGUCGUUACACAUACGUUUCUUGGAAAAUGAUCAUCAACUUGUUUUACGAGAAUCUAUUUGUAAUCUCUCAGCAUUAGAGUUGUUUGUUAAUUUUUCAUCUACUCGUUUAAUCUUUCGGUUACAAUAUUCAGAUUCAUUACGAAGCAUGCUAUCGUUACUUCUUGUAUGAUCUUUUAAAGUACUACCAACCGACAAUCCAUUUAUUUUCUUGUAAGCCACGUGAAUGUUCAAAACAAAACUAAAGCCAAGAACGCUCUUACAUUAAUCUCCACUGGACUAUACUAUGUAUUUGUGAACAAUGAACGUUCAUCGAUAGACUUCAAUGUAAGAGAUCUCUUUUUCCGUUAAUUACGUUUCACUCUCUUUCAAAACUGUACAAAAAAAUAAGGAGAACAAAUUUACUUAACACUCACAGGGAAAAAUAUUUAUCCCUUCUCUCUGUAUCACAACCAAGGGGAUGUUUUGUGAUGAAAUAUGAACACUUAGGAGUGUGUCGAGACUUUUAACGGUUAAAAAUUCAUAUAAAUGAAGUUUAAUGUUUUGUCAAAUUAUUAACAUAUAGAUUCCCACUAUUUUGUUUACAAAAUAAAUUAAACAAAAUUUCAUAUUUUUUAUUUAUUCAAUUCCUCCAUUUAUUUUUUUCGUUUAUCAAAUAGUAACUCUUCUCUGGCUUUAUGUUGAAUGAUAUAUAGGGUCAACGUUCAUAUAUCAACUACAUGAAAAAAUGCAUUAUUGUGACUAAAUGUCAUGAGAAUUGGAAAAAUCGAUUGAACUUUCUUACCUUUCAGGUACAGAGUAGUUCGUAUGAGUUAUAGAAUUCGGAAGGUACAUAUCACAAAACAAUCAAAGGUUACCCUUCAAGACUGAUGAGAGACUACAUCAUCAUCUCUCUGUAUUAGCCUGUGACACCAAC